GAUUCCUACCAGGAGGCAACUGAACACCCAAAGUCCUCAGCUUUGCGUACCUGCCCUCCCCUGAGAAGGGUUCACAUGCUGAAAAUAAAUAGCCCUGUCGUACAGCCCUGCUGGGCUUUGCUUUGGAUCCAUUACCCACAGUUACUUACUCCCUGACAGCUACUUCUGCACCUGAAGACAAGUAGUGGCUACAGCACUGAACGAACAUGAAUUUUCAAGAGCUGGGAGGUGUCAAAAACACCCAGAAAGACUAAUGUAAUCA
Pygoscelis adeliae (Adelie penguin) is the source of this 262-nucleotide long non-coding RNA. RefSeq lists it as uncharacterized. NCBI's taxonomy places the organism in Eukaryota, Metazoa, Chordata, Aves, Sphenisciformes, Spheniscidae. The transcript is spliced from 2 exons. The record is from RefSeq and is a predicted model, not a curated record.